CUCACACAUGCAAGUCGAACGGCAGCGGGGGAAAGCUUGCUUUCCUGCCGGCGAGUGGCGAACGGGUGAGUAAUACAUCGGAACGUGCCCUGUAGUGGGGGAUAACUAGUCGAAAGAUUAGCUAAUACCGCAUACGACCUGAGGGUGAAAGUGGGGGACCGCAAGGCCUCAUGCUAUAGGAGCGGCCGAUGUCUGAUUAGCUAGUUGGUGGGGUAAAGGCCUACCAAGGCGACGAUCAGUAGCUGGUCUGAGAGGACGAUCAGCCACACUGGGACUGAGACACGGCCCAGACUCCUACGGGAGGCAGCAGUGGGGAAUUUUGGGACAAUGGGC
This 333-nucleotide ribosomal RNA is filed under the name uncultured Ralstonia sp. RNAcentral's name for it is "bacterial SSU rRNA". It matches the Rfam family "Bacterial small subunit ribosomal RNA", at positions 48 to 376 of the family's 1533-position model. The record is from RNAcentral. Lineage: Bacteria; Pseudomonadati; Pseudomonadota; Betaproteobacteria; Burkholderiales; Burkholderiaceae.